GACGAACGCUGGCGGCGUGCCUAAUACAUGCAAGUCGAACGCUUCUUUUCUACCGAGUGCUUGCACUCACUUGAAAAGAGGAGUGGCGGACGGGUGAGUAACACGUGGGUAACCUGCCCAUCAGAAGGGGAUAACACUUGGAAACAGGUGCUAAUACCGUAUAACAAUGAGAACCGCAUGGUUCUCAUUUGAAAGGCGCUUUCGGGUGUCGCUGAUGGAUGGACCCGGGGUGCAUUAGCUAGUUGGUGAGGUAACGGCUCACCAAGGCAACGAUGCAUAGCCGACCUGAGAGGGUGAUCGGCCACACUGGGACUGAGACACGGCCCAGACUCCUACGGGAGGCAGCAGUAGGGAAUCUUCGGCAAUGGACGAAAGUCUGACCGAGCAACGCCGCGUGAGUGAAGAAGGUUUUCGGAUCGUAAAACUCUGUUGUUAGAGAAGAACAAGUACCGUUCGAAUAGGGCGGUACCUUGACGGUACCUAACCAGAAAGCCACGGCUAACUACGUGCCAGCAGCCGCAGUAAUAC
Molecule: ribosomal RNA, 528 nt
Filed under: uncultured bacterium
Lineage: Bacteria
Description: bacterial SSU rRNA
Rfam family: Bacterial small subunit ribosomal RNA
Source: RNAcentral